GCGGCACCACAGCUGCUCACAGUGAGACUGUUGGAGUUUGACUACACAGAAAUAUGACCUCAAUGAGUCCUUGUAGUGGAUGUUGGUGACAGUUGAUCUAUUAUAAAAACAGGAUGAGCAUCUAGAUGAGAUCUAUUGAUCUUAGUAGAAAGGAGUAGUCCUAUGUGAUUUAUGAGAUUGAGUUCAGAAGUUCUUGACCAAGAUAGUGUGAUUAGUGAAAAGGAGUUUC
RNAcentral lists this long non-coding RNA (229 nucleotides) under Elaeis guineensis (African oil palm). RNAcentral describes it as "long non-coding RNA (EGUI_LNC009669)". Lineage: Eukaryota; Viridiplantae; Streptophyta; Magnoliopsida; Arecales; Arecaceae. The record is from RNAcentral.